This 253-nucleotide ribosomal RNA is filed under the name uncultured prokaryote. Its description in RNAcentral is "partial 16S ribosomal RNA". It matches the Rfam family "Bacterial small subunit ribosomal RNA", at positions 524 to 776 of the family's 1533-position model. The record is from RNAcentral.
UACGUAGGGGGCGAGCGUUGUCCGGAGUUACUGGGCGUAAAGGGCACGCAGGCGGUCUGCUAAGUUCGGAGUGACAGUCACCAGCUUAACUGGUGAAGGACUUUGAAAACUGGCUGACUUGAGAGCGAAAGAGGGACAUGGAAUUCCGGGUGGAGCAGUGAAAUGCGUAGAGAUCCGGAGGAACACCAAAGGCGAAGGCAGUGUCCUGGCUCGUUUCUGACGCUGAGGUGCGAAAGCCAGGGGAGCGAACGGG